RNA transcript from Pipra filicauda (Wire-tailed manakin), 238 nucleotides. RefSeq lists it as uncharacterized. NCBI's taxonomy places the organism in Eukaryota, Metazoa, Chordata, Aves, Passeriformes, Pipridae. The record is from RefSeq and is a predicted model, not a curated record. The transcript is spliced from 3 exons.
GGCCGCCCCCCCAGACCCAGCUCGGCCCCCCCAGACAUGGCCACGGGGGAGUGGCUGCAGUUCUUCCAGGACGCCGGGAUCCCGCCCGGCCCCGCCCUCGGCUACGCUGUCGCCUUUGUGGACAACAGGAUCCACAAGGACAUGCUGCUGGAGCUGACGCGGGAGCUGAUGAAGGAGUUGGGCAUCACCGUGGUGGGCGACGUCAUCGCCAUCCUGCGCCACGCCCGCCUCGUGCACA